This 440-nucleotide ribosomal RNA is filed under the name uncultured Exiguobacterium sp. RNAcentral describes it as "bacterial SSU rRNA". It matches the Rfam family "Bacterial small subunit ribosomal RNA", at positions 358 to 790 of the family's 1533-position model. The record is from RNAcentral. Lineage: Bacteria; Bacillati; Bacillota; Bacilli; Caryophanales.
GGAAUCUUCCACAAUGGACGAAAGUCUGAUGGAGCAACGCCGCGUGAGUGAUGAAGGUUUUCGGAUCGUAAAACUCUGUUGUAAGGGAAGAACACGUACGAGAGGUAAUGCUCGUACCUUGACGGUACCUUACGAGAAAGCCACGGCUAACUACGUGCCAGCAGCCGCGGUAAUACGUAGGUGGCAAGCGUUGUCCGGAAUUAUUGGGCGUAAAGCGCGCGCAGGCGGCCUUUUAAGUCUGAUGUGAAAGCCCCCGGCUCAACCGGGGAGGGUCAUUGGAAACUGGAAGGCUUGAGUACAGAAGAGAAGAGUGGAAUUCCAUGUGUAGCGGUGAAAUGCGUAGAGAUGUGGAGGAACACCAGUGGCGAAGGCGACUCUUUGGUCUGUAACUGACGCUGAGGCGCGAAAGCGUGGGGAGCAAACAGGAUUAGAUACCCUGG